GCCUCCGGGGCGCAGCAGUAGGGAAUAUUGCUCAAUGGGGGAAACCCUGAAGCAGCAACGCCGCGUGAGUGAAGAAGUAUUUCGGUAUGUAAAGCUCUGUCAGCAGGGAAGAAGAAAGACGGUACCUGACCAAGAAGCCCCGGCUAACUACGUGCCAGCAGCCGCGGUAAUACGUAGGGGGCAAGCGUUAUCCGGAUUUACUGGGUGUAAAGGGAGCGUAGACGGCAGGGCAAGUCUGGAGUGAAAGGCAGGGGCCCAACCCCUGGACUGCUCUGGAAACUGUCCGGCUGGAGGGCGGG
RNAcentral lists this ribosomal RNA (299 nucleotides) under uncultured bacterium. RNAcentral describes it as "partial 16S ribosomal RNA". It matches the Rfam family "Bacterial small subunit ribosomal RNA", at positions 337 to 652 of the family's 1533-position model. The record is from RNAcentral.